GGAGGUUUGCUGGGGUCUUUUGCCCCAGCAGAGAGCAGGUGGGAUGCUCUCUGGCUGCCCUGACCUCCUGAAGCAUGGUGAGGACUGAGAGGACGCCCCCUUGGUGAGAGGCUAAGUUUAGAGGCCAAGAGCUUCUGGUGGGAUUUCCUUGGGUGCCUGAGGAACAGGAGGUCUCUGGGCUUUAUGCUGACGCCGGCGGGGGGCCCGUGUCUUGGAGGCUGCCUUCUUCGGAAUGUACACUAAGGGAAGAGAUGAACAGGAGAAUGGGAAGUAGCACAGAAACUACAGCUUCUGCCUCCCAGCUCUGUAAGGCCUAUGCAACAGCCUGGUGGGAAUCUCACAGUGGGAUCCUCCUCAAGACCUCAUUUGCCCCUGCCUACAACCACAAAGAAUUCAAGGCAGUUCCUACCAGGAAACAAUGUGAGAUCCCAGAGUCCUGAGACUGGGAUGGGAUUCUUGGAAAGGUAAGUCUAGGAAGCAUGGGUCCAAAAGGUUUUGGGAGGGAGUAAGUGGAAGCUAAGCUUGGAAAAAUUCAUUCAUUUUUCUGAGUUUUUCCUUUCUUUUUUUUUUUUGAGACAGAGUUUCGCUCUUGUUGCCGAGGCUGGAGUGCAAUGGCACAAUUUCGGCUCACAGCAACCUCCGCUUCCUGGGUUCAAGCGAUUCUCCUGCCUCAGCCUCCUGAGUAGCUGGGAUUACAGGCAUGCACUACCAUGCCUGGCUAAUUUUGUAUUUUUAGUAGAGAUGGGGUUUCUCCGUGUUAGUCAGGCUGGUCUCGAACUCCCGAUCUCAGGUGAUCCGCCUGGCCUGCCUCAGCCUCCCAAAGUGCUGGGAUUACAGGCGGCAGCCACCACGCCCAGCCUUUUUUUUUUUUUUUUUAAUCAAAGAUAUUAUAGAGAAAUAGAAUAAGAGCCAGGAGACAACUUUGGGCAUCCAGGACACUGGCUUUCCCCGGCUCUUCCAGAACCAGCCCCUCCCUGGGAUAAAGGCAGAAAGGGAUUUUCUGUGCCACUAUUUCCAAUGGAGGAGUGGUCCUGAAGUUCUGUAUCAAUAGCCACUUGCUACCAAGUCAGUGAGAAGAGAAAAGAACCUGCUGGUAGAGCAUACCUCCUCAUUGCUAGGUCCCUUCAGCAUGAAAUUUCUAUACCUAAUGGGGUCCAAUCCCAUCCUAAGACCUACAAUAUCCAGGUUCCUAUACAGAUUCAGGAUCUGGUGAGGGGGGAGCUUUCAAGAAGAAAUACGAUAGAAAAACCCAAGAGUCAAGGUGGUGGAGGAAGAAGCAAGGAUCCAGGAAACCGCCAUCCUAGUGUACACCCCUCCUCCCCUCGCUUUUCUUCUUUCUUUUUUUUUUUUUUGAGAUGAGGUCUCGCUAUGUUGUCCAGGCUGGUCUUGAACUACUGGACCCAAACUAUCCUACCACCUUAGCCUCUGGAGUAGCUGGGACUACAAGCACACACCUAGCCUAACAUCCCUUUUUUUUUUUUUUUGAAACGGAGUUUUGCUCUAUCACCCAUGCUGGAGUGCAGUGGUGUGAUCUCAGCUCACGGAAACCUCCACCUCCUGGGUUCAAGCGAUUCUCCUGCCUCAGCUUCCCGAGUAGCUGGGACUACAGGCACGUGCCACCGUGCCUGGCUAAUUUUUGUAUUUUUUUUUUUUUUAGUAGAGACGGGGUUUCACCAUGUUAGCCAGGCUGUUCUCGAACUCCUGACCUCAGGUGAUCCACCCGCCUCGGCCUCCAAAGUGGUGGGAUUACAGGCGUGAGCCACCGCGCCCCGUCCUAACAUGGCUUUUGAUAAUCACCCCCACACGAGCCUCUCCGCUGCCCCUACUGCUCUCAGCCACACAGCCUCCCUCAGGAGAAUGAGGGUUCAUCGAACUCACCUUUCUGCCAUCUCAUAAAAG
This is a long non-coding RNA of Symphalangus syndactylus (siamang), 1899 nucleotides long. RefSeq lists it as uncharacterized. NCBI's taxonomy places the organism in Eukaryota, Metazoa, Chordata, Mammalia, Primates, Hylobatidae. The record is from RefSeq and is a predicted model, not a curated record.